Molecule: ribosomal RNA, 47 nt
Filed under: Colletotrichum sp. DRC-G1
Lineage: Eukaryota; Fungi; Ascomycota; Sordariomycetes; Glomerellales; Glomerellaceae
Also listed under: 1 other name
Description: partial 28S ribosomal RNA
Source: RNAcentral
GGUGACCUCGGAUCAGGUAGGAAUACCCGCUGAACUUAAGCAUAUCA